AUGAUGGAUAGGACAAGUACAUCUACCAACCCACUCUUCAUCGAGCAAGACGACGACAUGACCUCCUACGUCACAAAGAGUCACCUCUUUUGUGCACAACGUGCUUUGCAUCAAGAGCCACAAGCAAUGAGAAAACACAUCGACAAUCUCGCCACCGACUUGCGACUCUCCGAGCAACGUACAAGAGACUAUUUUGACAACAAGCUUGACAACCACAAGCAAGAGAAUGAUGCAAGAAUGGACGAGAUUUGUGCUUUGUUGCUCAACCGCUCUUCUUCCAGUUCGUCCUCCUCCAGACGGAGUUGCUCAAGUCAGCACUCCGACUACACCAUCUCCGGCUCAAGUACACCGACAUCGAAUACUCUUCGACGUGCCGCGCGCCAAGAUUGUCAAGCAAACCGCAACCCUCUACACGACAACGACUCUCAAGAGCAACGACACUGA
RNAcentral lists this ribosomal RNA (444 nucleotides) under Triticum aestivum (bread wheat). RNAcentral's name for it is "partial small subunit ribosomal RNA". The record is from RNAcentral. Lineage: Eukaryota; Viridiplantae; Streptophyta; Magnoliopsida; Poales; Poaceae.